ACUAUGCUCAGUCGUAAACUUUAAAUUACACCAAAUUCGCCUGGGAACUACGAGCUAAGCUUAAAACCCAAAGGACUUGACGGUACCCUAUAUCCACCUAGAGGAGCCUGUCCUAUAAUCGAUAAUCCACGUUUAACCUCACCAUUUUUAGCUUAUUCAGUCAGUAUACUUCCGUCGUCAGCCUACCACAUGAGCGAUAGUGGGCUUAAUGUUUAUUCAACAAUACGUCAGGUCAAGGUGCAGCUAAUAAAAUGGAAAGAGAUGGGCUACAUUUUCUAAUCUAGAGCAUACGAAAGACUACUGAUGAAAGCUAGUCGGAAGGCGGAUUUAGUAGUAAAUAGGAACCAAAAAGUCCUUUUUAAUCUGGCCCUAGGGUGUGUACACACCGCCCGUCACCCUCCUCUUAUGCCAAAAAUAGUUAUUAACAACACUUAGCUUAUCAGAUGAGGCAAGUCGUAACACCAU
This 465-nucleotide ribosomal RNA is filed under the name Allobates femoralis (brilliant-thighed poison frog). RNAcentral's name for it is "partial 12S ribosomal RNA". It matches the Rfam family "Bacterial small subunit ribosomal RNA", at positions 789 to 1497 of the family's 1533-position model. Lineage: Eukaryota; Metazoa; Chordata; Amphibia; Anura; Aromobatidae. The record is from RNAcentral.